GCCCGUCUGGCGAAAUUGGCAGACGCGACAGUCUGAGAGGCUGUUGUCCGAAAGGACGUCCCGGUUCAAGUCCGGGGAUGGGCA
This 84-nucleotide transfer RNA is filed under the name Arthrobacter sp. BA34(2011). RNAcentral's name for it is "tRNA-Leu". It matches the Rfam family "tRNA". Rfam says of the family: Transfer RNA (tRNA) molecules are approximately 80 nucleotides in length. Their secondary structure includes four short double-helical elements and three loops (D, anti-codon, and T loops). Further hydrogen bonds mediate the characteristic L-shaped molecular structure. tRNAs have two regions of fundamental functional importance: the anti-codon, which is responsible for specific mRNA codon recognition, and the 3' end, to which the tRNAs corresponding amino acid is attached (by aminoacyl-tRNA synthetases). tRNAs cope with the degeneracy of the genetic code in two manners: having more than one tRNA (with a specific anti-codon) for a particular amino acid; and 'wobble' base-pairing, i.e. permitting non-standard base-pairing at the 3rd anti-codon position. RNAcentral also lists the same sequence under 1 other name. The record is from RNAcentral. Lineage: Bacteria; Bacillati; Actinomycetota; Actinomycetes; Micrococcales; Micrococcaceae.